RNAcentral lists this ribosomal RNA (456 nucleotides) under uncultured bacterium. RNAcentral describes it as "bacterial SSU rRNA". It matches the Rfam family "Bacterial small subunit ribosomal RNA", at positions 29 to 524 of the family's 1533-position model. The record is from RNAcentral.
AGCGAACGCUAGCGGCGGGCCUAACACAUGCAAGUCGAGCGCAUACCUUCGGGUAUGAGCGGCGGACGGGUGAGUAACACGUAGGUAAUCUACCCUUUGGUGGGGAAUAACCCGGGGAAACUCGGGCUAAUGCCGCACGAGGUCUACGGAUCAAAGCCUUCGGGCGCCAGAGGAUGAGCCUGCGUUGCAUUACCUAGUUGGCGGGGUAACGGCCCACCAAGGGGACGAUGCAUAGCUGGUCUGAGAGGAUGAUCAGCCACACUGGGACUGAGACACGGCCCAGACUCCUACGGGAGGCAGCAGUGGGGAAUAUUGCGCAAUGGGGGAAACCCUGACGCAGCUACGCCGCGUGGGUGAUGAAGGCCUUCGGGUUGUAAAGCCCUGUCGGGAGGGACGAAUACUGACGGUACCUCCCAAGAAAGCACCGGCUAACUCCGUGCCAGCAGCCGCGGUAAU